AUUGAAAGCUGGCGGCAGGCUUAACACAUGCAAGUCGAGCGGGGGAAGGUAGCUUGCUACCGGACCUAGCGGCGGACGGGUGAGUAAUGCUUAGGAAUCUGCCUAUUAGUGGGGGACAACAACACGAAAGGGAUGCAAAUAACGCAUACGUCCUACGUGAGAAAGCAGGGGAUCUUCGGACCUUGCGCUAAUAGAUGAGCCUAAGUCGGAGUAGCUAGUUGGUGGGGUAAAGGCCUACCAAGGCGACGAUCUGUAGCGGGUCUGAGAGGAUGAUCCGCCACACUGGGACUGAGACACGGCCCAGACUCCUACGGGAGGCAGCAGUGGGGAAUAUUGGACAAUGGGGGGAACCCUGAUCCAGCCAUGCCGCGUGUGUGAAGAAGGCCUUAUGGUUGUAAAGCACUUUAAGCGAGGAGGAGGCUACUUUAGUUAAUACCUAGAGAUAGUGGACGUUACUCGCAGAAUAAGCACCGGCUAACUCUGUGCCAGCAGCCGCGGUAA
RNAcentral lists this ribosomal RNA (501 nucleotides) under uncultured bacterium. Its description in RNAcentral is "partial 16S ribosomal RNA". It matches the Rfam family "Bacterial small subunit ribosomal RNA", at positions 30 to 523 of the family's 1533-position model. The record is from RNAcentral.